RNAcentral lists this long non-coding RNA (435 nucleotides) under Mytilus galloprovincialis (Mediterranean mussel). The record is from RNAcentral. Lineage: Eukaryota; Metazoa; Mollusca; Bivalvia; Mytilida; Mytilidae.
GGGAAGGGGAUUAUAGUUACGACGUAAGGGACAUAUUUGAUAUCAUCUGUGAAACGGUUAUUUUAUAACGGUCAACAAACUCGUGAUAGCGUCUGUAAAAUUUACGAAGGGAUGAAUUCAACUCCCCCAUUUGGAUCUCUUCGUUUAAUUAUAGCUUCCUUGUGAGCAGCAAAAAAGUGUUUGCACUUUAUAUACUUUAAGAUAGUAAUUGUCUUUAACUGUAAUAUAAACAGUACAGGUCAUGUCUUUGUGUCAACUUACCAAAAUAAAGAUUUAAUGAACGCCUGAACAUUUUGACAUUGUUAAUGUCUUUUAUACGUGCAUAUUUCUUCUAUUAUCACAAUUUCCUGUUAAUAAUUGACUAAGUAUCCUUAUCCCGACAUCGUCAGGACAAUUAUCGGAGAUACAUGUAUGAUGUGACCCAAUUCUUUGAAA